This 292-nucleotide ribosomal RNA is filed under the name uncultured bacterium. RNAcentral's name for it is "partial 16S ribosomal RNA". It matches the Rfam family "Bacterial small subunit ribosomal RNA", at positions 505 to 796 of the family's 1533-position model. The record is from RNAcentral.
GUGCCAGCCGCCGCGGUAAUACGGAGGAUGCAAGCGUUAUCCGGAAUCACUGGGUUUAAAGGGUGCGCAGGCGGAAUAGCAAGUCAGAGGUGAAAGGCUUGAGCUCAACUGAAGAAUUGCCUUUGAUACUGUUAUUCUUGAGUGUAGUUGAAGUGGGCGGAAUAUAGCAUGUAGCGGUGAAAUGCAUAGAUAUGCUAUAGAACACCAAUUGCGAAGGCAGCUCGCUAAACUAUAACUGACGCUGAGGCACGAAAGCGUGGGGAGCGAACAGGAUUAGAUACCCUAGUAGUCC